UACGUGAGGGGCGAACGUUGUUCGGUGUCACUGGGCUUAAAGGGCGCGUAGGUGGCUGCGUAAGUAAGGUGUGAAAGCCCUCGGCUUACCCGGGGAAUUGCGCCUUAUACUGCGCGGCUUGAGGAUUUCAGGGGAAGGGGGAACUCCAGGUGUAGCGGUGAAAUGCGCAGAUAUCUGGGGGAAGGCCGGCGGCGAAGGCGCCCUUCUGGGAAAUUCCUGACACUGAGGCGCGAAAGCGUGGGGAGCAAACAGG
Molecule: ribosomal RNA, 253 nt
Filed under: uncultured bacterium
Lineage: Bacteria
Description: partial 16S ribosomal RNA
Rfam family: Bacterial small subunit ribosomal RNA
Source: RNAcentral